Zonotrichia leucophrys gambelii is the source of this 1117-nucleotide long non-coding RNA. RefSeq lists it as uncharacterized. The record is from RefSeq and is a predicted model, not a curated record. The transcript is spliced from 2 exons. Lineage: Eukaryota; Metazoa; Chordata; Aves; Passeriformes; Passerellidae.
AACUGGCUCCAAAUUUCCCCGGGUGAUCCCCGGCCCGCUCCAACCUGCCGUCGAUGCGACCGCCCCCCCGGAGGGGCUGCUCGAGCCGUUCCCAGCCGCUCCCCCCGCCGCCUCCCCGCUAAUGAGCGUGUGUGUUGACACGGCGAGGCGAUGCCCCCGUUUGCUUUUGUUUGGGAGGUGUGAAAGAGGGAAUCUGCAUGAGAAAAGCCGGCGGCAACCGCGGAGCUCCGCGCGGCAGCGGCGGGACGGAGCGAGCCCGAAACACAAGGGACAACCGCAAUAAUUUCCAAGAAGGAAAGGCUUCCCUCUGGAGAAGCCAAGAGGGACCUGCAGCAGAGUCCUGGUACGGUGUGGCAGUGACACUGAUUCCAUCUGACACCUGGGUGUCUCCAAAGCCAUCACACUGUGUGCUGCAAAUGUAUAUUAUUAACAUUAGUAUGCAUUGGCACAAUAUGGAUCCAUUAUUCCAAAUGCUUAUGAGAACUAGGUGCUGCCUAGGAGCAGCUGCUGCUUUUUAAGCCUCAGAGCAUCAAUAGAUUCAUAGAUUUUAGGGCCAGAAGGGACCCCAGCGAGCCUGGAGCCUGACCUCCCACAGAAUGGGAGCUGGGGGUGAUUUUUGCAUCCUGCCCCACAACUUGUGGGCUGCCAGCUGAGGGCUGAUGUCUCCCUCUGUAAAUUUGUUCCCUUGUUUUAUCAGCACUCUCCUCGUUAAUCCUAAAAGGGCAGAUUUUCAUUUCAAAGCUCAGCUUGUGUAGGUCCAGCUUUCCACCUCCUUGGAUUGCCUCCUCUGUGUAAGAAAACCCAUUUUCCCUCUUUUGUUGGAGUAGCAGCGAUGUUGGAGAAAAGAAAAACAAAAUCAAUGUCCUGGAAUGUCAUCUGGAAAAAGGAUUGGUGCUUCUUAAGGGUGGAAAUGGUACCUGGCAAGUGUUCAAAUCUUGGGUGAUUCCCUGACUGUAAGCACUUCAGCUUUAGUCUUUGUUUAAAAAAAAAUAAAUCUGCAUUUUGUAGAGAGGGGUGAUGCUGGAGGACUUUGGGUUUAUAGUGCUUCCAGAAAAUGAGAGAAAAGAGAGAAUGAAAAUCCACUAAAUCAACGAAAUAAAAGGAGCUGAAAGUCCUA